Small nuclear RNA from Cavia aperea (Brazilian guinea pig), 102 nucleotides. The record is from Ensembl. NCBI's taxonomy places the organism in Eukaryota, Metazoa, Chordata, Mammalia, Rodentia, Caviidae.
GUAUUUGCAUCAGCAGCACAUACCUAUUAGAACCAUAGGAAGGAAUUAGCAUUGCCCAUGCACAAAGCUGACACACAGACUCAUGAAAUGAUCUAUAUUUUU